GGUGGAAACGUCACCCAUCUUCAGUAUUGCUAUCCCAAACCGAGAGAGAUUGUUGUCGGGAUUCCGCCCGGUAGCCGUCUUGUCGGGGUGAUACUCGAGCAACAUGUCGCCUACUUCGAAAAUGAUUAUCAAGAGAUACAACCGCUUACUUCGCCAUUAGAAUGCUUCCAUGCAUUCUGACAAGCACCAUGUGACCUCAUCACAAACCCCGGUCUGAGGCGUGACACCCCCACAGCGACCGCGCAGCCGCCCCUCGGGGUGCUAGGCGGUGGGGGUGGAGCGCCGAGGGCCCCUUCUGUCACAGGACUUGUGGGUGAAGUAUGUACAUAUUCUCACCCCAUACUUGUCACUGACGGGGCCGUGUUUUCAACGAGAUGCGGUAUAUGUGUACUCGGAAACUUCGGGAGGAAAUAUGUACUUGUAAACAUCUUACACGACCAUUCCAGGAGAUAAAAUGAAAAAUGUUGAAUCAUUGAGGAACACACCAAAUAAACCCUGGGCUGUGAAUUAUGUUAACGGAAGUGGAAGUGAACACCAAAGAAAGAAGAUUCUGGCAUUCAAUAAUUUCGAAAAGUGUAUAAAUUUUCAAUUAUCUAAAAAUAUUAAAAUGUCAACACAAAUGUGUCUUGGAGUUCUUUGCUGAAUGGUGACUUCGCAUGACUGAAAGUUGAAGUAUACUAUAUGGAGUUGAUUAGAGACCGACCAUUUAAUAUUCAAGGGGGUGGGGACCUGGAACUUUUCUAUGGAGAUUACAUUUUUUUCGGUCACAGCUACAAAAGCAGAUAUAUGAUUUUAUUUAACUCUAUGACCUUGAAGAUAAGCACCUUGCAACUAGAUCUAUGUCAUUUUUUGUGGCAGGCAUUUUUUUCACCAGUCUGAACCGUAAUUAUUUUUGUCAAGAAUUUUCGGUGACAAUAUAUUUUUUCGAUAAAAUUCCAGGACCCGAACCUCCCCCGAAAAUAUCCUAUGGUCAACCCCUUACAAUCUCUGCCAUUCUUAUUUUGUUUCCGGCAGUACUUGCCUAAAGGGUAAUGGUGUCUGACUUUGUUAUAGUCAUAUCUAUCUAGUUAACAGCUCAGUGGUGUUUUUACGUUUUGAACAUUGUCAGUAAAACACGAUCAAACUGUUAACUGGGCUAUUCGACGCCCUGGUAUUAAACAUUGGUAAAAGGUAUCUCGAAUCAUACACAAUCACGUGACUAAAGCAUAUUCUAAAACAUUUCCGGAACAUGUUUGGGGUUGUUUUUACGACAUUUUAGUAGGGAAUGGUCACAACGUAUUUCAUCCUUCAAGUUGUAACAACGUUAUUUCACGUCGUUGUGACAACGUCCAUUGUAGUACACGGAAUAACGUUGUAGGAACGCAUUAUUAUAACGUUCCCUCAACGUAAAAAUACAACGUUCCCACAACGUAAAAUACACCGUCAUCACAACGUUGUGACGACGUGAAUAUGACGUAACACAACGUUAGGCCAUGACGUUGUGACAACAUAAAUGGGAGUCCACAGAAUAACGUUAUACUGACGUAACAUCCCCAACGUUACCACAACGUAAACACAACGUUGUCACAACGUUGUCACAACGUUGUCACAGCGUGAAAUUGUUAGCUUGGAGCUUAGAAAAAAUACAUUUCAAACACGGUAGGGGUCAUGUGUUUGCAGAUUCAUUUCUUAACCCGGUCUUCAUUGAACCAAUUUAUUAUUGUACAAAAUUGCCAAGCCACAGAUACCUUUAAAGAAACUGUUGCUGAAAUUAGUGAUCUUUCUCCUUUUUUCAAUUUUCUGCUACAUGAAAAACAAAAUCGGUUCACUUUCUUUUGCCCUUCAGUUUAUAUUGCAUGUCAUUCCAUGGUACUGAAUUGGCUAAACAAUAAUUUUCGCGUGUGUUGCAGUAAUGCGCUGGAUGAUAUCAUGGACUUCGUAUUGCUGUCUACAGUUUUUUGUGCGUUAUUUAUUAAAUAAA
RNAcentral lists this long non-coding RNA (1960 nucleotides) under Haliotis rufescens (red abalone). Its description in RNAcentral is "uncharacterized LOC125377810, transcript variant X1". The record is from RNAcentral. Lineage: Eukaryota; Metazoa; Mollusca; Gastropoda; Lepetellida; Haliotidae.